Molecule: ribosomal RNA, 368 nt
Filed under: uncultured bacterium
Lineage: Bacteria
Description: bacterial SSU rRNA
Rfam family: Bacterial small subunit ribosomal RNA
Source: RNAcentral
GCGGCGGACGGGUGAGUAAUGCCUAGGAAUCUGCCUGAUAGUGGGGGACAACGUUUCGAAAGGAACGCUAAUACCGCAUACGUCCUACGGGAGAAAGCGGGGGAUCUUCGGGCCUUGCGCUAUCAGAUGAGCCUAGGUCGGAUUAGCUAGUUGGUGAGGUAAAGGCUCACCAAGGCGACGAUCCGUAACUGGUCUGAGAGGAUGAUCAGUCACACUGGAACUGAGACACGGUCCAGACUCCUACGGGAGGCAGCAGUGGGGAAUAUUGGACAAUGGGCGAAAGCCUGAUCCAGCCAUGCCGCGUGUGUGAAGAAGGUCUUCGGAUUGUAAAGCACUUUAAGUUGGGAGGAAGGGCAUUAACCUAAUAC